UGUCCCGUGUUGUAGCGGUUAGCACUCAGGAAUCUGAAUCCUGCGGAAGGAGUUCAAAUCUCCCCGGGACCU
RNAcentral lists this transfer RNA (72 nucleotides) under Nippostrongylus brasiliensis. It matches the Rfam family "tRNA". Rfam says of the family: Transfer RNA (tRNA) molecules are approximately 80 nucleotides in length. The record is from Rfam by way of RNAcentral. Lineage: Eukaryota; Metazoa; Nematoda; Chromadorea; Rhabditida; Heligmosomidae.